UACAGAGGGCUCAAGCGUUGUUCGGAUUCAUUGGGCGUAAAGGGUGCGUAGGCGGCGCGGUAAGUCGGGUGUGAAAUCUCGGAGCUUAACUCCGAAACUGCAUUCGAUACUGCCGUGCUUGAGGACUGGAGAGGAGACUGGAAUUCCUGGUGUAGCGGUGAAAUGCGCAGAUAUCAGGAGGAACACCGGUGGCGAAGGCGGGUCUCUGGGCAACAACUGACGCUGAGGAGCGAAAGCGUGGGGAGCGAACAGG
RNAcentral lists this ribosomal RNA (253 nucleotides) under uncultured bacterium. RNAcentral describes it as "partial 16S ribosomal RNA". It matches the Rfam family "Bacterial small subunit ribosomal RNA", at positions 524 to 776 of the family's 1533-position model. The record is from RNAcentral.